Molecule: long non-coding RNA, 1364 nt
Organism: Fundulus heteroclitus (mummichog)
Lineage: Eukaryota; Metazoa; Chordata; Actinopteri; Cyprinodontiformes; Fundulidae
Exons: 4
Source: RefSeq, a predicted model, not a curated record
AAGGUUUGAUUUAAAAUCCCCAAGCGAUGAGAGCCUACGACCAAGGAACUCGGAAGCUUUGCCUUUGACGGUCACGCCCACCACCAGACGGGCACCUUCUUCAACUUCUUCAGAAGUUGAACGAUUCUAGUCUACAGAUGAUGCAUCUCAAUAAUCCAGGUAGAAAAAUAAAUGAAUAAUAUUUAUUAGAUUUCAGAUUCAUCAAAAUAGAUACAAUGCACUGUACUGACAUUAGUAUCUCUCUCUUCUGUUUGCAGGUUGACAAGGCAGUGUUGCGCAUCAUGACUGAUGAGCAAAUGACAAAAUACAUAAACUCAUAUGAUGCAACAAAGAUCAAAAAGGUUAAGGAAAAUAUCUGAGACUGAGACAGCACAAAGUCCAGGUCCAUCACAUCAAUUUCAGUCAACCCCAACAGACAUUAAAAAUAGCAGCAUUGGCAGAAGAAAAAACACGAGUGAGGUCACUUUACCAGAACCGGGCCCCUUGUUUGAUGAGGCAGAUACACUUGUGUGGGAUUUCGGACGAUGAUGUGGUGGUUAUAAAUUUAAAACAUGUUGAUGAGGAUGUCACACAGAGCACGGAGGUGGGUGGAGCACCUACACAGGUGAUACAGCUUCUACUCCCUUCAGGUGAUGGCCUACCUACACUGGAUGAGCAGCAGUCCAUACACGAGGAAGCAGCACAAACUGCCCAGCUGGACAGUGGGCUAAAUUUCAAUUUGCCCUCAUAUUCAAGCAGCCAGAUGUCAACAGACAGCAACCCAGGAAGUCCCCAGACCACAUAACGUACCUCAGUUUGCAGGAUAAAGGUUGUUGAUGAUCUUUUGCCUGUAUUUACUGACAGCAGCAUCAUGAAUAUGACUCUAAAGAUGGACUUUGUCAAUGAAAAAGCUAUUGAUGAUGCCGGAGUGUCAAGGGAGGUGUACACAGCCUUCUGGGAGCAAUUUCUUGAACAGUGUGAAGGAGAAACAGAGCGAGUUCCAAGGCUUAGGCCAGAUUUUUCUGAGGCUGAAUGGCAAGCAGUUGGACGAAUUUGGGUGAAAGGAUUUGUAGACCAUGGUGUUAUGCCAGUAAAGUUAUCAGUGGCUUUUAUUUUAGCAUGCAUCAAUGGAAUUGACCAUGUUGAUACAGACAUCCUGAUGUCAUCGUUUCUCAACUACCUCCCUCCCUCCCACCGAGAGAUCAGCUGUUGAGAAGGCUCUUCAGGAAACAUUGGAUGAAAGUAAUCAAGAGGACUUGCUUGACCUUUUCACACGGAUGGGUUCCCAUUUCCUACCUCCAGAGAACAACAUGAAGCCUGCUGUUGUGCCAGUUCAGACGUGACAACAAAAACUGCAUCAAUUCGGGACGUAACGGACUGCGUUA